RNAcentral lists this ribosomal RNA (469 nucleotides) under Didymella sp. OY6207. RNAcentral's name for it is "eukaryotic LSU rRNA". The stretch from base 108 to 261 matches the Rfam family "5.8S ribosomal RNA". Lineage: Eukaryota; Fungi; Ascomycota; Dothideomycetes; Pleosporales; Didymellaceae. The record is from RNAcentral.
CCCAUGUCUUUUGAGUACUUACGUUUUCCUCGGCGGGUCCGCCCGCCGAUUGGACAAAAUUAAACCCUUUGCAGUUGCAAUCAGCGUCUGAAAAACAUAAUAGUUACAACUUUCAACAACGGAUCUCUUGGUUCUGGCAUCGAUGAAGAACGCAGCGAAAUGCGAUAAGUAGUGUGAAUUGCAGAAUUCAGUGAAUCAUCGAAUCUUUGAACGCACAUUGCGCCCCUUGGUAUUCCAUGGGGCAUGCCUGUUCGAGCGUCAUUUGUACCUUCAAGCUUUGCUUGGUGUUGGGUGUUUGUCUCGCCUUUGCGUGUAGACUCGCCUCAAAACAAUUGGCAGCCGGCGUAUUGAUUUCGGAGCGCAGUACAUCUCGCGCUUUGCACUCAUAACGACGACGUCCAAAAGUACAUUUUUUACACUCUUGACCUCGGAUCAGGUAGGGAUACCCGCUGAACUUAAGCAUAUCAAU